Molecule: small RNA, 1091 nt
Filed under: Pan troglodytes (chimpanzee)
Lineage: Eukaryota; Metazoa; Chordata; Mammalia; Primates; Hominidae
Description: retained intron
Source: RNAcentral
CUUAAUGAUGUUUGGUCGAAGAGUCAUCUGAAAUUUUGAAUUCAGUAAGGUGGCUGGAAAGUUUAGGGUAUUUUGAAAGAUGGUGAUUGACCUUGGACUGAACCACUAUUGAAGAUUUAUUUGAUAAUAAUUUAUAAGUUUUAACUCAGUACCUCCCUUCUGCUUUUAUAGUUCAAGGAGCAGGGACAAGUUACAGGAAUGUUCUCCAAGCAGCAAUCCAAAAGAGUCUCAAGGAUCCUUCAAAUAACUUCAGGCUCCAUAAUGGGAGAAGUAAAGAACAAAGACUUAAGGAACAGCUUGGCACUCAACAAGAACCAGUGAAGAAAUCCAUUCAGGAAUCAGAAGCUUUUUUGCCUCAGAGCAUACCUGAAGAGAGAUACAAGAUGAAGAGCAAGCCCCUAGGAAUCUGCCUGAUAAUCGAUUGCAUUGGCAAUGAGACAGAGCUUCUUCGAGACACCUUCACUUCCCUGGGCUAUGAAGUCCAGAAAUUCUUGCAUCUCAGUAUGCAUGGUAUAUCCCAGAUUCUUGGCCAAUUUGCCUGUAUGCCCGAGCACCGAGACUACGACAGCUUUGUGUGUGUCCUGGUGAGCCGAGGAGGCUCCCAGAGUGUGUAUGGUGUGGAUCAGACUCACUCAGGGCUCCCCCUGCAUCACAUCAGGAGGAUGUUCAUGGGAGAUUCAUGCCCUUAUCUAGCAGGGAAGCCAAAGAUGUUUUUUAUUCAGAACUAUGUGGUGUCAGAGGGCCAGCUGGAGGACAGCAGCCUCUUGGAGGUGGAUGGGCCAGCGAUGAAGAAUGUGGAAUUCAAGGCUCAGAAGCGAGGGCUGUGCACAGUUCACCGAGAAGCUGACUUCUUCUGGAGCCUGUGUACUGCGGACAUGUCCCUGCUGGAGCAGUCUCACAGCUCACCGUCCCUGUACCUGCAGUGCCUCUCCCAGAAACUGAGACAAGAAAGAAAACGCUCACUCCUGGAUCUUCACAUUGAACUCAAUGGCUACAUGUAUGAUUGGAACAGCAGAGUUUCUGCCAAGGAGAAAUAUUAUGUCUGGCUGCAGCACACUCUGAGAAAGAAACUUAUCCUCUCCUACACAUAA